AAACUUUCAACAACGGAUCUCUUGGUUCCGGCAUCGAUGAAGAACGCAGCCGAAAUGCGAUACGUAAUGUGAAUUGCAGAAUUCAGUGAAUCAUCGAGUCUUUGAACGCACAUUGCGCCCUCUGGUAUUCCGGGGGGCAUGCCUGUCCGAGCGUCAUU
RNAcentral lists this ribosomal RNA (158 nucleotides) under Aspergillus penicillioides. Its description in RNAcentral is "5.8S rRNA". It matches the Rfam family "5.8S ribosomal RNA". Rfam says of the family: 5.8S ribosomal RNA (5.8S rRNA) is a component of the large subunit of the eukaryotic ribosome. It is transcribed by RNA polymerase I as part of the 45S precursor that also contains 18S and 28S rRNA. Lineage: Eukaryota; Fungi; Ascomycota; Eurotiomycetes; Eurotiales; Aspergillaceae. The record is from RNAcentral.